Molecule: long non-coding RNA, 2824 nt
Organism: Brassica napus (rape)
Lineage: Eukaryota; Viridiplantae; Streptophyta; Magnoliopsida; Brassicales; Brassicaceae
Exons: 3
Source: RefSeq, a predicted model, not a curated record
GAAUUUAUAAUGCAUAUUUCAAUAUAUUUAUUUUAGUGAUGAUUUAUGAAUUAUUACCAUAUUUUAAGAAGUUUAACAAAAAUAUAAAUCAACAUUAAAUAUAAUGUAUUAGAUAUUGUCAUAUUCUAUAAAUUGUACCAAAAAUAUAUGUCAGUAAUAAAUGUGAUUGUCGAUGUCAUAUUAACUAUAAGGCAUGUCAUCAAUCUUGUUAGCCAUGACAUCAUUUUUUUUUGUAAAAAUGAUUGUAGAUAGGACACGUGGCAAAAUCACUUCGCAAAUAUAGUCUACGGAUUAUCCUCCAUCAAAAACUCAUUGACUAUUUUCUUAAUUUUUUUUUGUUUUUUUGUUUCUUACUAUAAUCAGCUAAUUAACUCACAUAAUUAUAACUUUAACUGUGUCUUAACUGUAUUUGUGUUUUUACCGAAAAUCCAACACCGACUCUGGUCUCACUCACUAAACAGAUAUAGAAACACACGACGUCAAAAGACGUCGUCUUCUUCUUCAACGUGUCUUUCUCUCUCUAGUCUUCUUCUCCAAGGAAUAAGCAUGGGGGAGAUGACGAUAGUGAAGCACGAUUCACCAUUCCCAGCAGGUAAAACCAGAAUCUGGUUUAUUCCUUCGUAAAGAAAAAGAGGUAGGUGCUAGGAUUUGAUACAUGUUAUCGAAUAUGGUUUUUCUAAACGUUUAGCUAAAAUUUCGACAGUUUCCAUUAGAGUUGCCAGAUUAUAGAAAGCAGUCGGCCAAACAUUUCAUUCGCUUAUCUAAUCUAUUAAUUUAGAGUCAUAUUUUUUAUCUACUAUUAAGGAUUGUCAUUUAAAUUUUGGACUCAUUCCGGAACCUAACACUUAUAUGACACGCUCCUUAUUAAACUUGCUUAAUAUCAACCGUAUUAUUUAAUAUAAACGAGUCUCACAUUAAACUAUACCAUACUUCGAUUAUUUAUUGAAUAGAAUAAUACAAAUAUCAAAUACUCUUAUACUAUCGUUCGUUUGACUUUGCUUCAAUACUAACUAAAACUGACAUUACUUAAUAUACAUCACAUGUAAUAUAAGUGCAAAGAGAAGUUAUUGCUUAUCAUAAAAUGUUUAGUCGCUACAUUUUAUUGUCUCACACGUUCACCAGUUAUGUAACUGUAGAGAAGUUAGUGCUUCAAUUAUAUUUGUUUCUCUUCUGUACACAACCUUUACCUACAACACACCAAAAACCUGAUCAAUUCAUAUUUCUCAUACUAAACAUUCUAACAAUCUCUAUACUUACGUGAGGUUUGAAUAUGACUUUUAUUAUAAGUCUAUCAAAUGGCAUAUAAUCCAAAAUCACUUAUUCCUCUCUUAAGCUUACAUUAUCACAUUAUCUAACCUGCUAUUAUAAACACAACAUAGUAAACAAAUAAGUUUGAAUGUCAUAUUCAAAUCAUGUAAGUUUAGAUCCGAUUGACACAUUACAUUACAAACGUUUUCUCAUAUUUUCUACCUAACACAGUACAAUUCUUUAUAUUACAUACGUAUCUAAUAUAAAUUAUAGUCAUUCAUUUAAAUAAAAAUAAGUUGAGUUUAGUAAAAAAAUGGUACAUAUAUAUAAUAGUGUUGUGUUAUAAUAGUGUACUAGAUCUCGACCCGCGCAACCGCGCAGGUGUUUGUUUUCAUUUAUUUUUAUAUAAAAAUUUUGUUUUCAAUUCUAAAUUAGUAUUAUAAUGUAUAUGAGGUGUGUAUAUCACUUUUUAAAACAUAAUAAUUUUACCAUAUUUUUUUAUUGUGUCCAUAAUCCUGAAGGAAUUGUAAUUGUGUAGUUUCUUUUAUAUAUUCUGCUACUAUAACAUAAAAUACUCAAGGAGUUGUAAUCCUCAAGCAAGUUUUUUUGAAAAAAUCGUAUCUAUUGAGAUAUUUUGAGAGUAUACUUGCUUUUCAAGUUAAAAGAAAUUACGACUACUUAGAUUUUAUGAUUAUAGUUGCUUUUCAAGAAAUAAAUAUUCUUUAAUGUUGGUUAUCCAAAACAGAAUAGUGGUCGAGAUUUUAGUGGUUAAGUACAUUCUAUAAGUUGCAGAUUACAAUUCUAUUUAUUGGAAUAUAAUUAAUGAUAGUUAUUCAGAACAAAAUUUUAGGAAUAUUGUUAGGCAUAAUAAUAAUAUGAUUAGAGAUUAUAUGUAACAUGACUUUAUAAGAAUAGAUUUAUUAGAUCCAUUUUUAAAAAAAUCACACAUGAAUCAAGGUUGUGACUUCUUGCUCAGUAUGCUUUGUUGCUGCCCCAAGCUUUGAAGAUUUCACCACCCAUCUCAAGUCUGUAGAACAUGAAUUUCGUGAAUGGGACAGGCAUGCUAGUAAAUACUCCCUUGAUCGUACUAACCUUAAUAACUUGCCGUUUGGUCGAUCACAGGAGUUGGACUUGCUGCUUAGAUGUCAAGAGAUUCUUAGUCAAAAGGGCCGGCGAGGUGGUGGUGGUGGCUUUAGGCCUCAAUUCAGAUCUAACAGUCAAUCCAAAGCAAGUUGACUCUUCUUUUCCUUUUACAUUCCAACAUAUAUAGCAUGUUUUUUUUUUUUUUUUUUGGAUUUACUGACUUGAGAGUUUCGCUCUCUAAAGUAUUGAAGGAACACAUCUGAAGAUGAAGAAGCAAGGACGGUGUUGCUAUUUUCACAUGUUUUUAUCUGUUUUUUGAAUGUAAUAAGUAAAACUACUAUGACAUAUUGCCAAACGAACAAAUAUUGUGCAUCUUUCGAAUUGAGAUGGACCUACGUGUCAGUCAGGUGGCCGUACGUGUCGCGCGUCUCCCACGACGGCUUCGCUUUUAUUUGACAGGUCCCAUAGUUUUCAAACUAUUCAGUUUCGCACC